GCCGCCUGGCUACAGCCUGACUCCUCUUGGGAGCCCCUGUCACCCCAAGCUCCUGUCCUCUUGGACUCCGUUCUCACCUAGAGAUGCUGAGAAGUCUUAGCACAGGCCUUCCACCAUGGCAUCCACCUCCUGUCCCUCAGGGGCCAAUGGCCCAGCCAGCUGUGUCCCCAGUGGGGCCCGGGAGGUGCCGGAGCUGGUGGGGAUUGAUGGGGUGUGUUUCUGGGGGCAGAGAUGUUUCCAAAGGGAAUGCCCUAAGAUUGCAGAGAGCCCCUCUUGGCUGGCUCCCGUGAGAGCUCUCUGUGGGCCCGAGAGGGACAGUGGGGGCUGGGCUGGGCAGGCCAUAGCUCCUUGCUCCGUCACUCAUUUCAUGGGAGCCCAGGUGCCAUCUCCACAACUAUGCGACAGGCCCGGUGCUGGUAGCUCUCUCCUGGAAGCACUACUCCCUGAUUUCCUUAGUAGGUGGGUGUUGCUUAGUGGCCCUGUGCACCCCACUUGUGUAGCAGAGGAAGGAGCACUGCCAGGCCUGGGUUGCUGGAGGCUGCAGGCAGGAGGAGGCUGGGUUGGGCUCAGCCUGGGAUGUGUGCGGCUGGGGACGGUAGAAGCUUCCCCUGAUGUCCUGCUGUUGUCAGUGCACGCAGGUCAGGGACAGAAGGUGGGCUUGUGAGCGCAUCCCGAAGGUCAUCCUGCCCAUAGACAUGGCUUUCCUGGCCCUGGUACCGGGGAGAUGUGGUCCCCAGACAAAGCUGAGUUCUCCCCUCAAGAAGCCACAGGGAGCUUUUGCACAGGCAGGUGGCAGGCAUCCCCUUGGCUUCAGUCCUACUGGCCCUGCCCUCAUGGCCCCGACAGGUCACAGCUGGGUUUGGUUCUGGUUGACACGGGCAGUUACAGACAACAACUGGCUUCACUCUCUUAAUUCCCCAGGAAGAUGAGGUGUCACGGCCAGGCCCAGCCCGGGAAGAUGAUGGGGACAGUGCUUAUCACCCUGAGGGGAGCAAGCUCAAUGUGAAAUGGAGGUGGCCUCUGUGGAUCAGGCGUGGAGGUGAUCCUGAGGUGGCAGAGCAGUUUCCGAGAGCUGCAUGAGAGCCUUGUGUCCACUGUGGCUCCGGAGCCACCUGUGGCCAAGCGCUGGCCAAGCUGCCCUGCUCCUGGGCAGGCAGGGCCCGGCACCCUUCCAGUGGCUCUGCUCCUGGUGCUCUGUGGCACUGGGUUUGUUUGGAAAAGGGGUUCCUUGGAGGAGUAGAGGACGUGGAGUUGGGCAGACCUACGUCCCCUUGGAGGGCCUAGGCCACCCAGGGUCCUUUGCAUCUGGAACCAGCAUCAUGGUGGUAGUAGAUGUCUGUGAAUUAAAUGCAUGUAAUGCCUUCCCAGGAAUCCUUUCAAGCCAAGGGACAGAAAUCCACUCAGACUAAGAAACAGAAGCUUCCCAGAGGGCGUCAGGGCCACUUGUCGCCUGCAAGACCAGUAGGUCUGCCUGGUAGCAUGAGGGCCCUGGGGUUGAGGCAUGUGUCCUCCAUGCUGUGGCCUGUAGGACAGUCCCAAAAAGGUUGAUGUCAGAUUCAGAAGAAAGGGGGUGGGACCAGAAACACACUGCAGCAAUAAUGGCUGAGAGCUUUCCACAGAUACAAACCUGCAGACUUAAGAAGCUGAGCAGACCCCAUGUAAGGCUAACAGCCACGUGCAGACGUACACAAACCAAACGCUGAGAACUGGGGGCAAAGAAAGAGCCCUUGGCAGCUGUCCUUCGUCAGCAGCCAGACGGUGUGGCCUGUACUGACAAGGGAUGCCGCAGUGAAUGACUGUGGCGCUCGUAAGAAACCCAGGAGGCCAGAAGGAAGACGGAAGCCCAUGCAUCUUACAGUGCUGGGAGAAAAGAAUGGUCACCCCGGAAUUCCACGUCCGGCCAGUGUCCAGAGUCACUCCAAACCAAGAGCCCUCCCAGCCGGCAGACCUGCUCCGCAGACUCCCUGCAGGGCUCCCUCCUUCCCCUGAGCAUCUGCAGAUGCGAGUGAUGGUGCAAGAGGACGAGGGCAGUGCCCGCCAGUGCCCGUGCAGUGCCGUUCCCAGGACAGCUGUGGCGGGGUGGGCCUGUGGCGGCGGUGGGGCUGUAGGUGGCAGCGUGUGUGCGGGUGCCAGGUCGAGCACACAGGGUUAAGGUGCCUGCAACAACCCUUUGAGCAGCCUUGCAGAGCUCGUGUGUAGAGACACGGAGUCGUCAUAGGUAUUUCAAAUGAAAUACAAAAACAUUCAAGUGGCCCCAAAGAAAGCCCGAAAGAAGAAAUACCGUAAGGAACGAGCAACAGAGGCAGCAAACAGCAAAUAGUGGAACACCUAAAUGCUGACUGAUCAGCAGAGGGGCUGGGGUAAAUGCACCAGUCAGGACAGCGUAUGAGGGUAGAUUUUUAAACUAAGCCAGCUCUCUGGUGUCUGCCAGAAGCUCAUUUGUCGUAUUUGAUUUGGGAUGCUGUUAUGAAACGUGAUAGACUUGGUGGCUUGUGAACAACAGAAUUUUAUUUCUUGCAGUUCUGGAGGCUGAAAGUCCAAGGUCAAGAUCUGCUGUCUGUGGACCAGGAAGGGGGCACUGAUCACAUCACUGAGUCUGAUUAGCUCGAUUCAGUGUCUGGUGAGGGCCCCCUCCUGGUCCACAGACAGCGCCUUCCUGCUGAAAGGAAGGCGGGUGAGGGAACUCUCUGGGGCCUUAGAAGGGCACUCAUUCUGUUCAUGAGUGUUCUGCCUUGCGACCUCAUCACCUCCCACAGGCCCCAUCUCCAAAUACCCUCACAUCUGGGGUUUAGCUUUCAACACAGAAAUUGGGUACCAGUGUCCCGUAUGUAGCAUCACUGUAGAUGCUGUGGUGUAGGCAGCUUACAAGUAGGAAGACAGAAGAAGAGGGGCUGCAAAAACCUGCCUCAGAAGAGGGUGGGAGUGGCUAUUUCAGGCCGAGGGAGACCUGGAGCAAAGAAAUGAGCAGGAGUGAAAAGGUUCUAGCUUUAGAAAAGGGGCAGCUCUUGAGGAAGAGAUCAUGCCAUGAACGUGUAUGCACAAACAGCAAGGCUUUGGACACAGCACACUGAAGGCGCUGCUGGAGACACGGGCAGAAUCACAGCAUUGCUGCAGAUUCCAGCACUCCUCUGGUGACAGAGCCUCAGAGACAAAUCAGCGAGGGCAGGGCGCCUGAUGACACCACCAGUCGGCUGGAUUGGCACUGCAGCCUCAGCAGCACAACCCCAUUUUAGCUCACAAAGAUGAGCCACCACAAUGGAUCACACCUGCCACAGAAGAGCCCUUAACACAUUUUUAAAAACCAGGAUCAUACGAAGUAAGUUUUCUGGCCAUGGUGGAGUUAAACUGGAAAUCAGUAACAGAAAACAAAACUUUCAAAAACUGUACACACACGAAAAUACAGCAUGUCAGAAUUUGUGAGACACAAUGAAAGCAGUGCCUAGAGGGGAUUUACAGGAUUAAAUGCUGUUUUACAAAAAGAAGAUGACUUUCAGUCUAAGUUUCCAACUUUAAAAAAAAAGCUUGAGAAAAAGCAAGAUAAACCCGGAGCAGAAGAAAGUAAAUGAGAACAAAAGCACUCAAAUUGAUUUUUAAGACAAUAGGGGAAAUCAAUGAAAUCAAAAUGUGAUUACUUGAAAAGAUAAUGAAAUCGGUUAACCUUUAGUAGAUACAAAGAUAAGAGAGAAAAUGCAGUUACCAAUAAGGAGUGAGUGUCACUCUAAACCCCGUGGAUGUAAAGAGAAAUGUCACUCUAAACCCCGUGGAUGUUAAAAGGAUAAUAAGGAAGUAUUGCAAAAAAUAACCCUCUGUGCAGAUCAGUUCUACAGCUUGGAUUAAAUGGACCAACUCUUUGGAAGGCAUAAAAUACCAAAACUAGAGCAAGAUAGACGGUGCCAUAAGGUAAGAAAAAAUAAUACAAGGCAUCCAAAUUGGAAAAGAAAGAAAACAGUAGGUCCCCUUCUCUGCAGCUUCAGUUACCCAUGCUCACCUGUGGUCUGAACAUGUUACAUGGAAAAUUCCCGAGAUAAACGGUAAGUUUUGAGCUGCACACUGUUUUGAGUGGUGCGGUGCAGUCUCGGCCAUCCUGCUCCAGGCGCGUGUCCUCCUCCCUUGGUCCAGCUGGGCCUCAGGCCCCCUGAGCCACCCACUGCCACAGUGCCAGGUGCUUAUGGUCGGACUGCCCUUAAUUGAUGUAGGCAGCCCAAAGUGCAGGAGUGUGAUGCUGGCGAUUCAGAUCUGCCAAAGAGAAGAUGUCAAGUGCUUUCCUGACCUCAAGGUGGAAAGGUGAAUGAACGUUCUUGAGUAGAAAGAAAAUUGUAUGCCGAGGUUGCUGAGAUCUAAGGUCGGAACAAAUCUCUGGAUGAAAUUGUGAGGAAGGGAUCAAAAGGCUCUUUCAUGAAACUGUGAAAGUGGCAGCCACGGUGCAUGUGGAGCACUUGGACCUGUGGGUGGAGGGUGAGACCAUGGGAGCAGCAGCGUGGUCCAGGAGGCCGGCAGGAGGCCCCUGAGAUGCGACACAGCCACUCACUGCAACUGACUGUCCUCAGUUUAUAAAUGACACUGCCUGUGGGGCCUCACACCUAUAAUCUUGGCUACUCAGGCCAGGAGUUCGAGACCAACCUGGCAACAUAGCGAGACCCUAUCUCAGUAAAUCUGAUCUUCCUGUCUUUAUCUUAGUAAUGUAUGCAUAGGAGAAAGUGCAGCGUAUUUAGAGUUCCAUGCUGUCCGUGGUUUCAGGCAUCCCUGGGCUGUGGCAGUGCAUCCCUUGUGGAUAGGGAGUAUUGCUGUACCCCUGUGCACACAUUGCAGGACUGGGAAAACCUCAAGGAUUGCAGCAGAUAAUAAUUACAUUUAGCAAGGUCAACACACAGAUCAGUGAUGGCUGUGUUAGCAAUGUGAAAUUGAAAACUGAAUAUUUAAAAUAGCUCCAAAAGUAAUGAGAUCCUCAGUUACAACCCUAACAAGACAUUCCCAGGAUUUGCAUCCUGGAAACCCCAAAAUGCUGAUGCAGAAAAUUGAAGGUCUCCAUCACGGAGAGACACACCACACUUAUCUAUCACCUAAGGUCUCCAUCAUGGAGAGACGCACCACGCUUAUCACCUGAGGUCUCCAUCAUGGAGGGAUGCACCACGGUUAUCACCUGAGGUCUCCAUCAUGGAGGGACGCACCACGGUUAUCACCUGAGGUCUCCAUCAUGGAGAGAUGCACCACGCUUAUCACCUGAGGUCUCUUAUCAUGGAGAAAGACACCACGCUUAUCACCUGAGGCCUCCAUCAUGGAAAGACGCACGGCUUAUCACCUGAGGUCUCCAUUAUGGAGAGACGCACCACGCUUAUCACCUGAGGUCUCCAUCAUGGAGAGACGCACCACGCUUAUCACCUGAGGCCUCCAUCAUGGAGAGACGCACCACACUUAUCCAUCACCUGAGGUCUCCAUCAUUGAGGGACGCACCACACUUAUCACCUGAGGCCUCCAUCAUGGAGAGACGCACAGCUUAUCACCUGAGGCUCUCCAUCAUGGAGAGAGACACUGCGCUUACCACCUGGAAGAUGACUGCAAACAGAUUCUUCCCCAGACUGAUCUGUUGAUUUAGUGCAGUCCCAAGCAAAAUCCCAGCACAGUCAUAGACCAGUUCUAAAAUUUAUGUGGAAGGGCAAAUUAAUUGAAAUAGCUACAAAGAUUUUGAAAAAAAGAGGAAUCUCACACUUUUGAGACUUAGUAUGAAACUGUAGAAAUCAACAGUGUGCGGCAUUGAAGAAGCAGAUACACAGCUCCAUGGAACAGAGUCCAGAGAUAGCCCCACACAAAUGGGGCCCUCAGUUUUGGCAAAGAGCAAAAGAAAUUGAAGGGAGAAAGGAUAGUCCGUUCAACAAAUGCUGCUGGGAAAAUCACCAAAUGCUGACUAACCCUCAUGCCUCAUGCAAGUGUCUAAAACUGUUUUAAAGCUUUUGGAAGAAGCCAUAGGAAAUCCUCACGACCUGGCAUUAGGGAAAGAGUUCUUGGAUUGAUAGCAAAGCUACAAUCCACUGAUGAAAAAGAACCAACGCAUCGCACUUCAUCAAAAUUUAGAACUUUUGCUUCAAGAAAGACACUUUGAAGAGGACAAACUCCAGGAUGGGAAAGAAAGUAUUUGCAAAUUGCGUAUCCCCCAAAGGACUGGCACCCAGAAUACACAAGGAACUCACACAACUCAUCAGCAGGAAAACAAAACAGUCC
Molecule: long non-coding RNA, 6216 nt
Organism: Sapajus apella (tufted capuchin)
Lineage: Eukaryota; Metazoa; Chordata; Mammalia; Primates; Cebidae
Exons: 2
Source: RefSeq, a predicted model, not a curated record